RNAcentral lists this small nuclear RNA (313 nucleotides) under Erinaceus europaeus (western European hedgehog). Its description in RNAcentral is "7SK RNA (ENSEEUG00000017815.1)". It matches the Rfam family "7SK RNA". Rfam says of the family: 7SK was discovered as an abundant small nuclear RNA in the mid-70s but a possible function has only recently been suggested. Two independent studies have found that 7SK RNA binds the CDK9/cyclin T complex (known as elongation factor P-TEFb). The record is from RNAcentral. Lineage: Eukaryota; Metazoa; Chordata; Mammalia; Eulipotyphla; Erinaceidae.
GGAUGUGAGGGUGAUCUGGCUGCGACAUCUGUCACCUCACUGAUCACCAGGGUUGAUUGGCUGAUCUGGCUGGCUAGGCGGGUGUCCCCUUCCUCCCUCACCACUCCAUGUGCGUCCCUCCCGAAGCUGCGUGCUCGGUUGAAGAGGACGGCCUUCCCUGAAUAGAGACGGACGACCGUUCUUCGGUCGAGGGUAUGUGAGUAGCUGCGCUCCCCUGCUAGAACCAAGGACAUAAUAUAAUCUUUUUUGAUUGCAGAGUAAUAUUCCAUGGAAUAUAUGUCCCAUAACAUCUUUAGCCAGUCAGUUUAUGAUG